Salvia splendens (bonfire salvia) is the source of this 551-nucleotide long non-coding RNA. RefSeq lists it as uncharacterized. Lineage: Eukaryota; Viridiplantae; Streptophyta; Magnoliopsida; Lamiales; Lamiaceae. The record is from RefSeq and is a predicted model, not a curated record. The transcript is spliced from 2 exons.
UUGGAGAUGCUCUAAUAAAAAAGCGCGUUAAAUGACAGAGACAUUUUUCUUCCGACAGAUCCGACUCAGCAGCUCUGUUUUCACCUUUCGCGAUUUCUGGAAAUCGCAGAUCGUAUUUGGAUAGACAGGACAUAAGUUAUCAUUAUAUGGAUAAAGCAGAACCUAACAAGGAGCUUACUGAGGAUUCGACUCGUGAAUCACUGAUUGCUCUCUCUUACAAAGUACCUGCCAACGAACAACCUGCUGCAACGUCUCCUAAAGAUACAAGUAUUGAGAACGGUUGCGGAAGCCCACACUUUGAUGGAAAAGAGAAGUAUAGGUCUGAGCUGAUUUCCAUCUCUUAUUCACCAUCACCAGAUAUGGAAAUCCGGCCGCUGUCACCCGCAGAGUUGGACGGUUAGCGUAUUACAAUGUAAAAUUCCCAACAAAAAUUGUAAACAACUUUUGUUCUGUUUUGUGAAAUUUUUAUAAAUUACUGUAUGAUUUGUGUUGCAAAACUUGUGACAUCAGCAAGUAUUUUGUUCAAUAUACAGUUGAACAUGUUGUGAAUA